This 1097-nucleotide long non-coding RNA is filed under the name Lepisosteus oculatus (spotted gar). RNAcentral describes it as "lncRNA (ENSLOCG00000021532.1)". Lineage: Eukaryota; Metazoa; Chordata; Actinopteri; Semionotiformes; Lepisosteidae. The record is from RNAcentral.
CCGGGUCUCCUGUAAGACACCCUUGCACGAUUGGUCUUCGGCGGACUUGGAAGGAUAGACACCCUACCAGCAGACUACCCUACCAAUCCACACAUGACAAAGAAAAAGACAGGACGAACUGGAUUUUUCACUCCAAAGGAUCUCACGGCGCUUUCCAUACUGUAUAGGAGACAACACGCAGCGCAGGCCAGGAGGAGGAGAGAGGUUUCAGGUGGAUUCAGAGGGAACUGUAGAGAGGACGGACUGCCCCAGACCACAGUGGGGUUUAACUUGGACAAUCUUUAAUGACCAAGUGAAGUCGGGGUGUAACCCCGGCGUCCUGGCCACAUUUUCCCCCUGGCCUUUACCAGUCAUGGCCUCUUAAUAACCCUCCUCUCUGAACUGGCUUCAUCACUCUGCUCUCCUCCCCACUGAGAGCUGGUGUGUGGGGAGCGGACCGGCACAUCAUCCAGAUGGGGGUACACACUGGUGCUGGUGGAGGGGAUCCCCGUAACCUAUAAAGCGCUCCGAGUGGAGUGUCCAGGAAAGCGCAAUAGAAGUGUAAGCAAUUAUUAAUUAUGAGGGUGGUCGGUUCUUCUUUUUUGAGACGCCUGGACCGGCUGGUGGCUGACGCCGGCGAGCUGUGACGCUGUGAUUCCCUGAUACCGUGACCUUCUGUGCGAAUUGUGUCCGGGGGCCGCGGACGAGGCGAUCCGCGCCCCCCUGCUCCCCCUUAGCCCGCUCCCCUUUGCAAACCUCCGCCGCGAAUCCGCGCUGAUUUAUGUCACUCGUCCCAACCUUAAAAUAAUCAGGAAUGAUGAGCACUUGGCUACCCGUUGCGAUGACAUUUCGGCGGGCACGGUGUCAGUGAAAUUAAACGUAAUUUUUACUGUGGUGCCAUCUGUCAGCAGCACGAACAUCUUUUUAUUCGCCGUGACAGGGAUUGAUUUUGAAGCUGUUCCUUCACCUCCUCGGAAGAGAACGAAUUGGAUGAUCUGCCUCGGGGGUAAGGUCACCCCCCUCGCUGUGAGGCGGAGUGACAGCGAUCCGUGCUGCAGCGGUUUUCAGAGAGACGCCGGAAGGCAGACGCAGAAAACUAACAUACGACUCUGCCGCGG